Molecule: long non-coding RNA, 368 nt
Filed under: Elaeis guineensis (African oil palm)
Lineage: Eukaryota; Viridiplantae; Streptophyta; Magnoliopsida; Arecales; Arecaceae
Description: long non-coding RNA (EGUI_LNC007069)
Source: RNAcentral
AGUCACUAGUGCUUUCCUCCGAUCUCCUAUCGGUGGCCCCACAUUUGAAAGCACAAAAAAGCUUGAGCUUGAUUGUGCCAGAGAAACUCCCACUGAAGGAGCGACCAGCGCAACUGCAGACUGUUCAGGUUCGGUUGUGGCCUCCAUCUCAGUCUGAACCUCAGUUGGUGGAGCUAUCGAUAUUGCUGCGGCAGCCUCGUUUUCUCUCAUUGCCCCUUCUUCAGCAGACGGUACAUUAGGGAGUGCUGUCGGAGCCGAUAAUGCCAGAACUGGCUCGAAAAUCGAUAUCGAUGGUACGUCAAAUUUUUUCGUCGGUGCGGAUGUAGAUGCCCGACCCUUCUUCGGUGGUCGGGAGGAUCCAGCUUCGG